AUCUUCUCGAAUGUCAACGUCCUCCAAUGUUGUUUGUGAUGGAAUAAUUCACAGAAGAAAAUGGGAGUCAGACAGACAGAUAUGCAGGACUUUUGAGUUUUAAAGAAUGAAAAGAAAAUGCUCACUGGUCAACCUUAGAAGUAGAAAAAAAGGUUUGUAUGCUUGAUGGGUGUGUCAUUCAUUUCCAGGGUUUGGCUUUUAUGUGAAGCUGGAAUCUGUAUCCUACAGACCAUGAUGUUCAGACAUAAAAUUAGACCCAUAAGAGCAAGUCGGUACAUGUAUUCUUGAAAUAUGAUGAUUAAAAAUCUAAUCUU
Ruditapes philippinarum (Manila clam) is the source of this 314-nucleotide long non-coding RNA. RefSeq lists it as uncharacterized. The transcript is spliced from 3 exons. The record is from RefSeq and is a predicted model, not a curated record. Lineage: Eukaryota; Metazoa; Mollusca; Bivalvia; Venerida; Veneridae.